GGCGGAUGUAGCCAAGUGGAUCAAGGCAGUGGAUUGAAUCAC
RNAcentral lists this transfer RNA (42 nucleotides) under Polygonatum hunanense. RNAcentral describes it as "partial tRNA-His". The record is from RNAcentral. Lineage: Eukaryota; Viridiplantae; Streptophyta; Magnoliopsida; Asparagales; Asparagaceae.